CUGAUGGACAAGCGACUGCCAAUGCAAUGUUAUGUUUCUAAUCACGUGUGCUGAACGUGCAAACAUCAUUAAUAAGAAAACCUAGUUCAUGUAAUUAGUUUGGUUGGCACUCAGCACCGUUUUAUUAUUAACCACUCUCGCUGUAAGUCAAUCGGGCGCCCCCUAGAAAACGGCAACGUGCAGGAUCCAUUUCAGUGCACACAGAAAAGUGUUUCAGAAAGACGGGAUGGUAUUCUAAAUGAGAUAUCAAUCUGUUAGGGAAACAAAAAAAAACAAAAAAACACUAUAUUCCAGAAAGUAAGCAUUUGAUGUACAUACAUGAGUCGAGAUUUCUGAGCAUUAAACAGUGAAACAAACACCAAGGUGCGUUUUGUUAAAUGCAAGAUAGGUUAUAAUUAACACAGCGCUAUGUAUGAUGGAAAUGAUAGGAAACUGCAUAUUAAUUAUGCUCACAACUCAGUCACACUAACUUGCUGCAGGUGCAGGUCCUUCCCUCUGGUGUUUUCAUGAGCUACUCUGUGAUUGGGCAAAACACUGAAAUUCAAAGCUCACAACGUCGCUAUUGGGCAAGUUUCACACGCAUGUGACAGCAACCACUCCUGACACUCGGUUUCUCGGUAAACAGCCCCGCGGAACACUAAUAAAUUAGACUGGGAAUAGAGAGACCGCUUAUCUUCAUGAUAUCAGACUUCCGUUUUGUUUUGACAGCCUGACGGGAAUGCAAAAGCUCAACAUGUGCAACACGGUCAGUCAGACCUGACGUUGAAAUGUGUCGUUUCAAACUUUAUGCUGUACUACAAAACUGACACAUUUAAAUAGGAAAAAUAAUGGAUAUAAUACCAGUUAUUUUGCAUUUAUUCUUUCCAAACAUUUUGAAUUGUCUACUCUUGACCUUGAGCGAAAGGGAAGUGAUUCCUAAAUGAACUAGGCUAUAAUUCUGUCAAUCCUGUCACUUAUCUUAAUAGCCUAUACAGUUUUCUUAAAUUUAGCUUGAGGUAAAUGUAUUAGCACUUAAAGACAUUCUUUGAUAAAGUUUUCUAUUUAAAAUAUCUAAAGAAAUUUGCUUUAAAAAUAGGCUACAUUUUGUUUAUUUGUUUAAUUUCAUGAAAUGAUCCUUAAACACAACAUGUUUGUAGUAAAGCAAAGAAAAACUGGUUCUUGCUGUUGUCCCAAAAAAAAAAAAAAAUUCCUCUUCACUCCUGGAUAUGUCUCAGGUGUGCACUUUAACUCCAUAUAGCCUAGAACAACAGAUGCAACAGAUUCAGCAGUUUGCGCUGGUUUAGCUCCGCAAUUGUAAUUUGAAUGGGAACUUUACUAUUGAACGGAGGAAACGUUUCUCGAUGUCUCGCUUGUCAAGUCAUAAAAAGGGAGUCGCAUGGCAGCAUUCAUUUUAACACAUGAACCGCCUGUAUUUAAUCAUGCAGCCUUUAUAAAACUUAAAAGCGGCCUAGAAACUUCAAGAGACUUGGAUCAAUGAAUCAUCCAAUAAUCAGAUUUUCACAUUAGUUUUAUGUUUCAGAAUUCGAAAUUAAAUAUUAUUUGAUUGUGGAGCAUAUUUAAAUGCCCACUUAGGCCUAAAUGUGCUAGGUCUGAAUUCAAAACUCCCGUCACAGCUAUCAAGAGACUUACAUUUACGCAUUGAUUUCAGCACUGAUUGGCUGAACAGCGCCUAUAGGCCCGAUGACGAACUUUUCACUCACGAAGUUGGCGGGAAGAGUCAGGUGAACUGAAAACUAUAAAACAAAAAAGCAGUUUAGUAGAUAUUUUCUAUCAAUGACAACAUAUAUUAGAGAAACUUUUAACAGAAAUUUACAUGACAUUCUGUGUCAAACAUGAACCUCAUAUUCACUUUGAAAAGUUUAAAUGAAUGCCAUUGAACGUGAUGAUCUGAAUGACCUUGAAUUUUAACACGAGAUUUAGGUUUAAAUAUGGCAUUUAAUUCAGACUCUAUGCCUAUUUCAAAUCGUGAUAUUAUUUAAAAAAAAAAAAAAAAAAAAAAAGUAAUUAAAAGUACAAAUAUAUUAAUCAAAAAUUGACGUGUUGUCUAUAGCUAAACAAUGAGUUACAAAACCUACACCGUUUAUUCAGGUUUAUUUUCCAUUGAUCCUUUAUGAGGCAAGACGAAUGUUACCAAGCAUUCAAUCUCGGAUAACCAAAAAUAAAAUAAUAAUAAUAAAAAGAAUUUAAUUUAUAUUAAAAUUCUAAAAUUCACAUAAUUUUGUCUCGUUUAAUUGUGGCAGACAUUAGAGACGCCUUUAUAGCAUUUUCUGCCAAGUUCUACGAGAAGGUAGUGAAUGCCAAGGCAACUGUGCCAAAGCUUUUGGAGGCAGAGUGGCAAAGACGAAGCAAAAACUGCAGUGUGUAAAGGACAACGGAGCGAACUACAGGGAUUGAACUCUUCGAAAGAAACCAUAUUUGGGGUUUUAUGAUGCAUUUUCUGCUCAUUUUUAAGUGUGGAAAAAGUCACGGGACCAAAUCAGCCACAAGAGGGUGAUCUUUCUAUACAGAAGUCCUUUUGAUAUCCAGUCUGAGCGCCUGUAACCGUGAGCCCUCCUUCCAGUUCAGCAAGAGUGCUUUGUCCAUCAAUAUGUUGAACUUAAACCGCUUCGGAAUGUUGUCAAAUAUCACAUGCACUUCAAUAAAGAAAUCUUGACAAAUA
Long non-coding RNA from Ctenopharyngodon idella (grass carp), 2659 nucleotides. RefSeq lists it as uncharacterized. Lineage: Eukaryota; Metazoa; Chordata; Actinopteri; Cypriniformes; Xenocyprididae. The transcript is spliced from 2 exons. The record is from RefSeq and is a predicted model, not a curated record.